RNAcentral lists this ribosomal RNA (224 nucleotides) under Escherichia coli. RNAcentral's name for it is "partial 23S ribosomal RNA". It matches the Rfam family "Bacterial large subunit ribosomal RNA", at positions 474 to 700 of the family's 2925-position model. The record is from RNAcentral. Lineage: Bacteria; Pseudomonadati; Pseudomonadota; Gammaproteobacteria; Enterobacterales; Enterobacteriaceae.
UCCUGACUGACCGAUAGUGAACCAGUACCGUGAGGGAAAGGCGAAAAGAACCCCGGCGAGGGGAGUGAAAAAGAACCUGAAACCGUGUACGUACAAGCAGUGGGAGCACGCUUAGGCGUGUGACUGCGUACCUUUUGUAUAAUGGGUCAGCGACUUAUAUUCUGUAGCAAGGUUAACCGAAUAGGGGAGCCGAAGGGAAACCGAGUCUUAACUGGGCGUUAAGU